AGAGUUUGAUCAUGGCUCAGGACGAACGCUGGCGACGUGCCUAACACAUGCAAGUCGAACGGUCUGCUGUUCAACACCGAGGGUUUUGGUGGAGAACCCCGACAGCGUCAAGCGCGAACGAGAGAGAGCGCUUCACGCGUUAAACAAGUGCUAACACUAGAAUUUUCGGUGUUGGACAGCAGAUAGUGGCGAACGGGUGAGUAACGCGUAGACAACCUACCUCUAAAUUGGGGAUAACACCGCGAAAGUGGUGCUAAUACCGAAUGUGGUAACUUGGUCGCAUGACUGAGUUAAGAAAGGUGGCCUCUUAACAAUGCUACCGUUUAGAGAUGGGUCUGCGUCUGAUUAGCUAGUUGGUGAGGUAACGGCUCACCAAGGCGACGAUCAGUAGCCGGUCUGAGAGGAUGAACGGCCACACUGGGACUGAGACACGGCCCAGACUCCUACGGGAGGCAGCAGUGGGGAAUCUUCCGCAAUGGACGAAAGUCUGACGGAGCAACGCCGCGUGAGUGAAGAAGGUCUUCGGAUUGUAAAACUCUGUCGUUUGGGACGAACGUAUCUUGUGUGAACAAUGCGAGAUAAUGACGGUACCAAAGGAGGAAGCCACGGCUAACUACGUGCCAGCAGCCGCGGUAAUACGUAGGUGGCAAGCGUUGUCCGGAAUUAUUGGGCGUAAAGGGCGUGUAGGUGGAUCUUUAAGUCUUGUGUCUAAGAGCGGUGCUCAACGCCGUAUGGGCGCAGGAAACUGGAGAUCUUGAGUGCAGGAGAGGAAAGUGGAAUUCCCAGUGUAGCGGUGAAAUGCGUAGAUAUUGGGAGGAACACCAGUGGCGAAGGCGACUUUCUGGACUGUGUCUGACACUGAGGCGCGAAAGCCAGGGGAGCGAACGGGAUUAGAUACCCCGGUAGUCCUGGCCGUAAACGAUGGGUACUAGGUGUAGAGGGUAUCGACCCCCUCUGUGCCGGAGUUAACGCAAUAAGUACCCCGCCUGGGGAGUACGGCCGCAAGGUUGAAACUCAAAUGAAUUGACGG
Molecule: ribosomal RNA, 1030 nt
Filed under: uncultured bacterium
Lineage: Bacteria
Description: bacterial SSU rRNA
Rfam family: Bacterial small subunit ribosomal RNA
Source: RNAcentral